RNAcentral lists this transfer RNA (57 nucleotides) under Symplana brevistrata. Its description in RNAcentral is "tRNA-Val". Lineage: Eukaryota; Metazoa; Arthropoda; Insecta; Hemiptera; Lophopidae. The record is from RNAcentral.
CAGAAUUUUUUUUUUAUUUACAAUAAAGUUUAAAAUCAUUAAUUUGAUUAAUUCUGA